GAGAACAGAGUUCUCAUUUGUCUAAGCUGCAAAGACCCAAUAGAAAAUCCAACACAGAAUUAAGAGCCUGACUUUUAUCAGAGGAUGACCGAAAAAUGGCUCUACCUGCUCAAGUCAGGGAGUCAUCCAGCCAAUAUCCUCUCUUUGACACUAGAAAGCAGCACACAGUAGCAGAUAUUUAGGGACAAGGUAGAGGAAACAUGGCAAAAAUGUAGGGAUUGCUUCUCCUGUGUCCUGUUACAGGUCUAGCAUCAAUGUCAGAGAGACUUGCUCAGCCAGAGGUGGUAUGUUUGUGUUUAGUUGUCCUUGAGUAACUUUUCUUUCAAGCUUUUGUCCAGUUAUUUUUUGAACCCAAUGUAAUAUUUUGGAACCUUUUCUGAGAGGGGCAGUGGAGUCUCUACAAUGUUGGAUGCUUUUUGUGAGAGAUUUGCUUCAGUCCUGUCAGGUUUAUGGGAAAAACUACCCAAUGUGUAUUCCCAGGGUAUUGGACUCCAUAAUCUCAGUAUUCUUUCCUAACACUGAAAUCUGUUAACUGCUGGCUUGAGUUGACUCCUGAUCUACCUUGCAGGUAAAAAGCAAGGCCUGGAAUAAUUUGGUCCUAACCAGUACGUUCUGCCCCUUUUAUUUAUCUGCAUUAAUCCAUGUUUUCUUCCACAACAGAGGAUUAUAGACCCCACUACAGGGAARCUGUAGCAGACAAUCAUGCAGGUGUGCAAGUAUGAGGCUCACUCCUCUGUAAAAGGAAGUCUCUAAAUCUCCAUGCAUCCUAAGUACUGUCUUUGAGUUGGCCAACAUGGGCGGCAGCUAUGAUGGGAGAUCCAGGGAUGGACUGAGGUUACACAGUGAGGCUGCAGCCUGCGUUCCAAUGCUGCUGGAGUUCCAGGGUCCUUGCUGCCCAGAUCCGCAGAAGACCACCACUCUUUUCAUCUGGGAGCAACAUGUUGGUUAAUGAAUUUCCUGAGAAGGGCAAAGGAGUCAGAGGUUGUGAAUCUGCAUCGUUUCCCAAGAACUGUUCUGUGCAUGUAGUAUUGAAGGUCAUGAGUGCCUGGGCGGUGAUCCCCAAGUUGAGUGCUGAACUGACGCUACAGCUGUCUGUGAAAUGAAAGCUAAGGCUGACUUCUGAGAGGUAAGAAGCAGGGUUUCAGCAAGAGG
RNAcentral lists this long non-coding RNA (1152 nucleotides) under Dromaius novaehollandiae (emu). Its description in RNAcentral is "lncRNA (ENSDNVG00000017939.1)". Lineage: Eukaryota; Metazoa; Chordata; Aves; Casuariiformes; Dromaiidae. The record is from RNAcentral.